GACGAACGCUGGCGGCGUGCUUAACACAUGCAAGUCGAACGGAAAGGCCCUGCUUUUGUGGGGUGCUCGAGUGGCGAACGGGUGAGUAACACGUGAGUAACCUGCCCUUGACUUUGGGAUAACUUCAGGAAACUGGGGCUAAUACCGGAUAGGAGCUCCUGCUGCAUGGUGGGGGUUGGAAAGUUUCGGCGGUUGGGGAUGGACUCGCGGCUUAUCAGCUUGUUGGUGGGGUAGUGGCUUACCAAGGCUUUGACGGGUAGCCGGCCUGAGAGGGUGACCGGCCACAUUGGGACUGAGAUACGGCCCAGACUACUACGGGAGGCAGCAGUGGGAAAUAUUGCACAAUGGGCGGAAGCCUGAUGCAGCAACGCCGCGUGCGGGAUGACGGCCUUCGGGUUGUAAACCGCUUUCGCCUGUGACGAAGCGUGAGUGACGGUAAUGGGUAAAGAAGCACCGGCUAACUACGUG
This 468-nucleotide ribosomal RNA is filed under the name uncultured bacterium. RNAcentral's name for it is "partial 16S ribosomal RNA". It matches the Rfam family "Bacterial small subunit ribosomal RNA", at positions 28 to 507 of the family's 1533-position model. The record is from RNAcentral.